UACAGAGGUCUCAAGCGUUGUUCGGAUUCAUUGGGCGUAAAGGGUGCGUAGGUGGCGCCAUAAGUCAGGUGUGAAAUCUCGGAGCUCAACUCCGAAACUGCACUUGAUACUGUGGUGCUCGAGUACUGGAGAGGAGAUUGGAAUUUACGGUGUAGCAGUGAAAUGCGUAGAUAUCGUAAGGAAGACCAGUGGCGAAGGCGAAUCUCUGGACAGUUACUGACACUGAGGCACGAAGGCCAGGGGAGCAAACGGG
RNAcentral lists this ribosomal RNA (253 nucleotides) under uncultured bacterium. RNAcentral describes it as "partial 16S ribosomal RNA". It matches the Rfam family "Bacterial small subunit ribosomal RNA", at positions 524 to 776 of the family's 1533-position model. The record is from RNAcentral.